RNAcentral lists this long non-coding RNA (1340 nucleotides) under Vitis vinifera (wine grape). Its description in RNAcentral is "long non-coding RNA (VVIN_LNC004434)". The record is from RNAcentral. Lineage: Eukaryota; Viridiplantae; Streptophyta; Magnoliopsida; Vitales; Vitaceae.
UACAGCGAUGAUUCGUCGGAGGAGGCGAUGAGAGUUACACGUAGUAUUAUGAUAAUAAAACCUCCGGGAUUCCAAAACGGAUCGCCGCCGGUGUCCCCGGCCGGAUCUACACCCCCGGUAUCUCCUUUUUCCGGUAAGCUCGCAGAAUUUCCUUUAAAAUGCCAAAAAUGCCCUCGCUUAUUUGUUUCAUAUGCGAAAGCCCCACUCCAUGAAAAGUGGAGGUGGGGAAAUCUAGAAAGACCCUACACAAAAGUAAAACGGGCAGUAUGGUAAUUUUAGUUGACAUGUUUCCCAGUCAAAUGGAUGUAAUGAUAAUGGGUGAGAGAGUAGGAGUUAGGUCAUGGAAAUUUAUGGUAUUGGGGUUUGUUUUGGUUGGUUAGAAAAUGACGUUUUUGUCCUCAUCCACGUACAAUAAUGCAAUGGGCCAUGUUUGCUAUUUAUAAUGCUUUAUUUUUUUGUUAAACUAUUCGUGCCCUUCUUAAGACGUACACAUAAGUUUAGUAAAUACAUGAAAGUUUUGGCCUUUUUGGGUUGGAUUUCAUCUUAUUUUAUUAUAUAAUUGUUAGAAAAUUGAUGAAUUAAAUUAUAUGCUGGUAAACAAUUCCAUAUAUAAGAAAAGGUGGCAUGAAAUAAACCUUACACCCUUGUCUUAUAGGAUGCAAGAUGGAUCUUGUAGUCUAGAUUUAGUGUGAUGAAGCUUGAAUUAUGGGUGUAUUUGGAGGUUAGAUCUAAAAAUAAACCCCAUGAUUCAUUGAUAUGUAGAUGUUGAUUUCAUGAAUUCUAGUACAAGUAUUGGAAUGAAGCCUUAUAUCCCAUGUUGAAUAUCCAUCCAAAUAUAGCUUCAUGGUAUUGUUACAUAAUUCUAUGUGUUAGAAUGAAUUGUUUUGAUGGUGAAACAUGGUUAUGGGUGUAUGUAUUUCAUUGAAAACAUAGAAUCUAAUGUUGUUAUUAUUAUUAUUAUUAUCAUGGUUCUUACAUUGAUUCCAUGGCUGGUUUACAUACAAGGUGGGAAGGAGUCUUUCCGGUUUCGCCGGCGAUCUACAUCGGAUGCUUACGAGAAGGGGAAUGGGGUUGGACCAAGGAGCCCUCGUCCUCCUUACGACGUGUGAGAUCUGAUCCUGGAGAUCUGGUUAUCUGGUUGCACCAGCACCCUAGCUUCUGGCUUCUUUUUCCAUGUAUCAAUCCCACCUCCCAUGAUCAUGUACGUGAGGAGGAGCUACAUAAAGAUAUGAAUAUGUGUGUGUGUGUAGUGUUUGCUUGUGGGUUGUGCAUGUGGCUAAGCUAGCCCUGUAAAUAUGGGGAUCUCUGCAUGCAUGCAUGCAUGCAUGGAUCCUAGUAGU